Molecule: long non-coding RNA, 868 nt
Organism: Nyctereutes procyonoides (raccoon dog)
Lineage: Eukaryota; Metazoa; Chordata; Mammalia; Carnivora; Canidae
Exons: 3
Source: RefSeq, a predicted model, not a curated record
GUUUAUUUACCUCUUUCUUUCUUUCUUUCUUUCUUUCUUUCUUUCUUUUCUUUCUUUCUUUGGGUCUGAGUGGCUAUGAACCAUCACCAUGAGGACAGUUUGCUGGGUUUGGGCUUGUUUUUAUUUUUUUUUUUAUUUUUAUUUUUUUGUUUAAUUUUUAUUUAUUUAUGAUAGUCACACAGAGAGAGAGAGAGAGGCAGAGACACAGGCAGAGGGAGAAGCAGGCUCCAUGCAGAGGGAGAAGCAGGCUCCAUGCACCGGGAGCCCGACGUGGGAUUCGAUCCCGGGUCUCCAGGAUCGCGCCCUGGGCCAAAGGCAGGCGCUAAACCGCUGCGCCACCCAGGGAUCCCCUUGGGCUUGUUUUUAACGAGUGCACCAGUCCUUUUUGAGAUGCAGCUGCCACAGAAAAGGAAGAAAGAAACCAUGAGGAAUAUGAGAAGACAGGGAUUCCCAUAGUACUCCUGAAGAGUUGGAAAGCUUCCUGCCUUUCCUGGUGAACACAGUGCACAGCAAAGCACAAUUCCUGCCCUCAGGAAGCUCGCUGUCCAACAAGCACAACAGACAGGUGAAUCAAUGACUUCGAUUUAUGAUGCAGGUUUGAUGACGAGAGAGCAGAGCAAGAUUGAAGCACAGAAGAGAACAAGUGAAUCAAGUCAAGGCUCGUGGGGACGCCUGAGGGGCUCAGUGGUUGAGCAUCUGUCUUUGGCUCAGGGCAUGAUCCUAGAGUCCUAGGAUCGAGUCCCACGUCGGGCUCCCUGCAUGGAGCCUGCUUCUCCCUCUGCCUGUGUCUCUGCUUCUCUCUCUCUGUCCCUCUGUGUGUGUGUGUCUCAUGAAUAAAUAAAUAAAAUCUUAAAAAAAAAAAAAAGAC